CCUAACACAUGCAAGUCGAGGGCAGCACGAAUCAAGCUUGCUUGAUUUUGGUGGCGACCGGCGCACGGGUGCGUAACAGGUGUGCAAUCUGUCCAUAAUCGGGGAAUAGCCCAGCAAAGUUGGAUUAAUUCUCUAUGUGAGCCGAGAGGGCAUCCUUUUGGUUUGAAACGCGAGGGUAUAGGGUGAGCACGCUUCUGAUUAGCUAGUUGGUGAGGUAACGGCUCACCAAGGCGACGAUCAGUAGGGGUUCUGAGAGGAAGGUCCCCCACAUUGGAACUGAGACACGGUCCAAACUCCUACGGGAGGCAGCAGUGAGGAAUAUUGGUCAAUGGACGCAAGUCUGAACCAGCCAUGCCGCGUGCAGGAAGACGGCUCUAUGAGUUGUAAACUGCUUUUGUAUGAGGGUAAAAUUGGGUACGUGUACCUAACUGAAAGUAUCAUACGAAUAAGGAUCGGCUAACUCCGUG
Molecule: ribosomal RNA, 467 nt
Filed under: uncultured bacterium
Lineage: Bacteria
Description: bacterial SSU rRNA
Rfam family: Bacterial small subunit ribosomal RNA
Source: RNAcentral